AGCUAGUUAGCCAGCUAGUUAGCCAGCUAGUUAGCCAGCUGACUGACUAUCUGGUUAACAUUCAGAUAUAGCUCUUGAUUUGUUCUGAAGAAUAAGUGGUCAGGAAGCUCAGAGCCCCGUGGAGGAGGAAGGUCCAGGUAGAUGCUCAGGAAGCUCGAAGGUCCAGGUAGAUGUUCAGGAAGCUCAGAGCCCCAUGGAGGAGGAAGGUCCAGGUAGAUGUUCAGGAAGCUCAGAGCCCCAUGGAGGAGGAGGAAGGUCCAGGUAGAUGUUCAGGAAGCUCAGAGCCCCAUGGAGGAGGAAGGUCCAGGUAGAUGUUCAGGAGGAAGGUCCAGGUAGAUGUUUAGGUAGCUCAGAGCCCCGUGGAGGAGGAGGAAGGUCCAGGUAGAUGUUCAGGAGGAAGGUCCAGGUAGAUGUUUAAUGUGUGGAUGAUGUUGUGUGUUCCAGUCAGGAGGAGCCUCUAUGUAGAGGGGUCUACGCCCCCAGGACCACUACUCAUUCCCCCCUACCAGGGUGGGGGAGACCAGCACACUGAAGGUCAACAUGAGAAACAACUCCUUGGAAACGCAUGGGAUCCCAACGCUACAUCCACCUGCCAGUCCAGUUCAAGCCGGUUGUCACCGGCAACCACUCCAGCCAGCUGUUGGUUCAGACGGAUACCAGUGGAAACAUCGCUAUCCAGCUGACUGGUGAAGCCCUGGCCUGAGGACGUCUGGGUCAGGGAGGACUGCUGGGUCUGGGUCAGGGAGGACUGCUGGGUCAGGGAGGACUGCUGGGUCUGGGUCAGGGAGGACUGCUGGGUCUGGGUCAGGGAGGACUGCUGGGUCUGGGUCAGGGAGGACUGCUGGGUCUGGGUCAGGGAGGACUGCUGGGUCUGGGUCUGGGAGGACUGCUGGGUCUGGGUCAGGGAGGACGUCUGGGUCUGGGAGGACUGCUGGGUCUGGGUCUGGGAGGACUGCUGGGUCUGGGUCAGGGAGGACUGCUGGGUCUGGGUCAGGGGAGGACUGCUGGGUCUGGGUCAGGGAGGACUGCUGGGUCUGGGUCAGGGAGGACUGCUGGGUCUGGGUCAGGGAGGACUGCUGGGUCUGGGUCAGGGAGGACUGCUGGGUCUGGGUCAGGGAGGACUGCUGGGUCUGGGUCAGGGAGGACUGCUGGGUCUGGGUCUGGGAGGACUGCUGGGUCUGGGUCAGUGAGGACAGCUUGAUGUGGUUACCAUGGUGGGGUAGAUGGGUAAUGAACUCUCUCCCAGUGGACAGCUUGAUGUGGUUACCAUGGUGGGAUAGAUGGGUAAUGAACCCUCUCCCAGUGGACAGCUUGAUGUGGUUACCAUGGUGGGAUAGAUGGGUAAUGAACUCUCUCCCAGUGGACAGCUUGAUAUCCUCUGGGGGUCUACAGCUCUAUAUCCUAUCCUCUGGGGGUCUACAUAGAGCCAGCAGACUACAGCUCUAUAUCCUCUGGGGGUCUACAUAGAGCCAACAGACUACAGCUCUAUAUUCUAUCCUCUGGGGUCUGCAGCUCUAUAUCCUAUCCUAUGGGGGUCUACAGCUCUAUAUCCUCUGGGGGUCUACAGCUCUAUAUCCUAUCCUCUGGGGGUCUACAUAGAGCUAGCAGACUACAGCUCUAUAUCCUAUCCUCUGGGGGUCUACAUAGAGCUAGCAGACUACAGCUCUAUAUCCUGUCAUCUGGGGGUCUACAGCUCUAUAUCCUAUCCUCUGGGGGUCUGCAUAGAGCUAGCAGACUACAGCUCCAUAGCCUAUCCCCUGGGGGUCUACAUAGAGCUAGCAGUCUACAGCUCUAUAUCCUAUCCUCUGGGGGUCUACAGCUCUAUAUCCUAUCCUCUGGGGGUCUACAGCUCUAUAUCCUAUCCUCUGGGGGUCUACAUAGAGCCAGCAGACUACAGCUCUAUAUCCUGUCCUCUGGGGGUCUGCAGCUCUAUAUCCUAUCCUCUGGGGGUCUACAGCUCUAUAUCCUAUCCUCUGGGGGUCUACAGCUCAAUAUCCUAUCCUCUGGGGGUCUACAGCUCUAUAUCCUAUCCUCUGGGGGUCUACAGCUCUAUAUCCUAUCCUCUGGGGGUCUACAGCUCUAUAUCCUAUCCUCUGGGGUCUACAGCUCUAUAUCCUAUCCUCUGGGGGUCUACAUAGAGCCAGCAGACUACAGCUCUAUAUCCUGUCCUCUGGGGGUCUGCAGCUCUAUAUCCUAUCCUCUGGUGGUCUGCAGCUCUAUAUCCUAUCCUCUGGGGGUCUACAUAGAGCUAGCAGACUACAGCUCUAUAUCCUGUCCUCUGGGGGUCUACAGCUCUAUAUCCUAUCCUCUGGGGGUCUGCAUAGAGCUAGCAGACUACAGCUCUAUAGCCUAUCCCCUGGGGGUCUAUAUAGAGCCAGCAGUCUACAGCUCUAUAUCCUAUCCUCUGGGGGUCUACAGCUCUAUAUCCUAUCCUCUGGGGGUCUACAUAGAGCCAGCAGACUACAUCCUGUCCUCUGGGGGUCUGCAGCUCUAUAUCCUAUGCUCUGGGGGUCUGCAGCUCUAUAUCCUAUCCUCUGGGGGUCUACAGCUCUAUAUCCUAUCCUCUGGGGGUCUACAGCUCAAUAUCCUAUCCUCUGGGGGUCUACAGCUCUAUAUCCUAUCCUCUGGGGGUCUGCAGCUCUAUAUCCAAUCCUCUGGGGUCUACAGCUCUAUAUCCAAUCCUCUGGGGGUCUACAGCUCUAUAUCCUAUCCUCUGGGGGUCUACAGCUCUAUAUCCUAUCCUCUGGGAGUCUACAGCUCUAUCCUAUCCUCUGGGGGUCUACAGCUCUAUAUCCCUAUCCUCUGGGGGUCUACAUAGAGCCAGCAGACUACAGCUCUAUAUCCUAUCCUCUGGGGGUCUACAGCUCUAUAUCCUGUCCUCUGGGGGUCUACAGCUCUAUAUCCUGUCCUCUGGGGGUCUACAUAGAGCUAGCAGACUACAGCUCUAUAUCCUGUCCUCUGGGGGUCUACAGCUCUAUAUCCUAUCCUCUGGGGGUCUACAUAGAGCUAGCAGACUACAGCUCUAUAUCCUGUCCUCUGGGGGUCUACAGCUCUAUAUCCUGUCCUCUGGGGGUCUACAGCUCUAUAUCCUGUCCUCUGGGGGUCUACAUAGAGCUAGCAGUCUACAGCUCUAUAUCCUAUCCUCUGGGAGUC
RNAcentral lists this long non-coding RNA (3153 nucleotides) under Salmo salar (Atlantic salmon). Its description in RNAcentral is "lncRNA (ENSSSAG00000103048.1)". The record is from RNAcentral. Lineage: Eukaryota; Metazoa; Chordata; Actinopteri; Salmoniformes; Salmonidae.